Molecule: unclassified non-coding RNA, 179 nt
Filed under: fungal sp.
Lineage: Eukaryota; Fungi
Description: partial internal transcribed spacer region
Rfam family: Eukaryotic small subunit ribosomal RNA (bases 1-46)
Source: RNAcentral
AAGUCGUAACAAGGUUUCCGUAGGUGAACCUGCGGAAGGAUCAUUCCAUAUUAUUCUUUUUCUCUAUACACGUGUACAGUGUUGUUGUGGGUUUUCAAUUUUUUUAGUGUCCAAACUAUUUAACCAACCAAAAAAAACAAAAAAACCAAGACUUUUAGCAACGGAUACCUUGGCUCCCA